This is a long non-coding RNA of Herpailurus yagouaroundi (jaguarundi), 2829 nucleotides long. RefSeq lists it as uncharacterized. The record is from RefSeq and is a predicted model, not a curated record. NCBI's taxonomy places the organism in Eukaryota, Metazoa, Chordata, Mammalia, Carnivora, Felidae. The transcript has 3 exons.
GAGUCAUUUUGUCUUUCCCAACCUCAAAGGGGUGAGGAAGGGCAAUCCUGUUAUGUGCACAGAAUGAGAGAACUCCAGGCUAUUUGUGAAAAGUUCAAAUCCCUGCCCUAGUUACGUAUUCUGGUAAGAGCUACUAAGAAAAUACUACAUUCUCCAUCUCAUUACGAUAAAUUAUAUCAACUGUAAUAUUUAUCCUUGUGAUUUCUAUCUAAUGGCUUCCUAUUGAUUUCUAGUAAGCAGAGAAAGCUUUUUUUACCCAUUUAAAUAUGGGGAGAUAACUAAAUGCUCCCUGUCAACUUUUCUUCUCUGCAUUAAACACCUUCCCAUGCACCCCCUCCCCUACUUUCUUCCUAUGAUGUAACUUCCAACCCUUUACCAUCUGGUCACUAUCUACUUGGUUAUAGCUGACUGUUAUGUGAAUGUGAUGGGAAAAAAAAAAUAGAAAAGGGGGUUUCUUUUAGGGAUAAGUCAAAGAUGACUGUUUGUGUAACCCUUUAUUUUUGUUCACUGGCACCACCUACAAAAGAGCAGCAGUUUUUCAACCCUUGGCAACAACAGAAUCACCUGCAGAAACAAAGUGGUGAGGUCCAGGCUUCUCCACCAGCGACUCUGAUUCAACUGGCCUUGCCUGGGCCUGGGUAUCUGUACUGUUUUGCAGUUUUGUUAUCUAUAGCUACAUAACAAACCAACCCCAAAUUGAGGAACUUAAAGCAAAAAUAGUCAUUUUACUAUUAUCUUUCCUGGUCCUGGAGGCCGACUAGAAUCAAAUAUAUAAAAAACAAAUGAACAUUUUAAGAGAAUUUUAUGGGCAAACAAAAGCCACCAGCUUGGAGUAAAAGAGACUGAACCCAUUUGGUAUUUAAAGCAAACUUUGGCUCCCCCAAUAUUUUAUAGGUAGGGGGGAGGCUGAGGGCUCUGCUUAGCACCCAAGGAGACCAUAUUCCUUUUUAGAUUAGGCAAAGGAGGACUGUGAAAAAGUGGACCUCUCAGUGGGCAGAACCAAGGACCACGGAGAAGAGUGGACUGGGUAGUUUCUGUAGGGGAAAAGAAUCGGGGUGCUAAAUGUGCCCCACCCUUAGGACAAGGGGCUGCUCACCAUACCUGCCCAGUAGGUCUUCAGAUUUACUGGGGGGGGGGGGGUCAGUGACUGGUAAAUGACUUCCCAUGCAUCCACUUCCCAAUGGGAGUGUUAAUUGUGUCCCUGUCCCUAACUGAAUAUUGAGUUUGUGUGUGGGAGCAAGUGACUUAAUUUUUCAGGUGUCCCCCAUCUAAAGGAGGCAGGCACAUCCAAACCUUCUAUAGUGGUGCUUGUGCCUUAUGCACCAGUCCUGGACUUUGAGCUCAGAGCAGCACCUGCAGGGGAAUUGGGGGUUGUCUCCCUUGGGGAGGGAUAAGUGUCCUCUUAGAUGGGCAGGGGAGGGAAAUGCGUGUUUGGUGUGCAGAGUACAGACUAUGGUGGAUUAUGUUAAUAUUUACCAAAUAUUGUGGCACCUUUCUCUGCAGGGCCUCUCCCUGCGGUGGGAGGGCUCUACAUCCUGGUCCUUUUGUGUUCAGUGUUACAUUUGACUUGCUUUGACCAAUGACAUGUGAGUGUCAGAGGUGACAGGAGCCACUUUUGAGCAGAAGGGUUAAGAAUCAUGGUGUUCACCUUUCCCUCUGCUAUGACACCUGACAAUGUUCCAGAUAGAAGCUGCUUUCCCAUUCGCUGUGCUGGAAUAAAGAUGGCACAGAACAAAGCCACAGCCAGCCCAUAAUGAAUGCAGCAUAUGAAAAAUUAAACUUAUGUUGUAAGACCCUGGAUGAUAAUAUUAAUGGAGAGGGCUUGGCACCCUGACAGCCCUGAGGAGCCUUGGGUCCCUCUUGCAUGAUGGCUACCAGCAGCAAAGGGACAUAGCCUUUCAACCGCCCAAUUUUCUUGUCCUCUCUGAGGAAGACUCAUUCCCUUCACAUUGAUGCCUGCCAUCAACAGUAGGUGAUAGAGAGCCUCCUGGAGAGUGCCAGUCUCCAGAGAGCCUCCUGUUGACAGUUUUCAUCUCUGUAGAGCAGAGAAUGUGGGAAGAUCUUUGGUAUUCUAGGUUCUGGGCUAAUGAAAGCUUGCUGGACAUAGUCAGGUAUUUCAAGAGGGUGGCCAUUCAGAGGGUCCUUUUGUCCUUACUUGCUGGGGUUUUCUGUUGCCCUGGUGACAUCUCAGUCUUGGCUUUCUCAUUACAUGAUGAAGACAUUGGUGGUGACAAUGGAAAGGAUGAGAAGAUGAAAGAGGUCAUACCAUACCUGGUUCUAUGCAGCAGAACUGAGGCUCAAGUAUCGAGCGCUGUGAUUUGCCUUUGUGCAGCCCUUUGUGUUGUGAGAUGACCAGAUGACAUAUUCGUAUAUUGAUGAUUUUAAAUGUGUGCAUGGCUGAGAAGAUCAUACCAAUUAAUUUUCAUGCAGAAGUCAAGCAUGCCUUGCACAGGGCUCAUCCAUAGCCAAUCAGCCGUUGACUGUUAAUAGCCACCUGGAGUGCUGUGCUGAGGAUCAGAUCUUCUCAUGGCUGGCCCUGUCUCAUUGGUCAAGUUUCUCCCAAAUGGUGACUGCUACAGAGAGGACAUUAACCACCCUAGCUAAAGUGACAUCCCUCCCCCACACUCUAGGCCAUACUCUAGCUCCUUUCCUUCCUUAACUCUCUUUCUAGCACCUCUCAUUAUCUGAAAUGAUCUUUCUUUCCUGUGUGUUCUCUCUUCUUCUAGAAUGUGAGCUCCAAGAGGACAAGGACUUUGUCUCUCUUAUCCACUACGAUGUCUCUGUGCUUAUUAGAGAGCUGACAUGUAGGAAAAAACUCAAUAAAUAAAU